UUCGCCGGUCGCGCACGCCUUCUCCGAACUGCGCCCGCGCAAGCGUGAUAUGAACAUUAAUGUGUGUCUGUGUGUGUGACAACUAGGAUACUGUGAUUUGGAAUUUUACUAUUUGUUGGUUGACUCGAAACAAAAAUGCAGACGAAGAACAUAAACCUAACCCAGGAACAGAAGAAUCAAGAUUGUAUUGAUAAACUAUGUCGACAAGACAAUGAAAUGCCUGGAAGCCAGUACUUCCUCACCCAAGUCACGGGCGCAACAGUUGGUUCCACGUAUUACGGUCAGUA
Pieris rapae (cabbage white) is the source of this 287-nucleotide long non-coding RNA. RefSeq lists it as uncharacterized. The transcript has 3 exons. The record is from RefSeq and is a predicted model, not a curated record. NCBI's taxonomy places the organism in Eukaryota, Metazoa, Arthropoda, Insecta, Lepidoptera, Pieridae.